UACGGGGGGGGCAAGCGUUGUUCGGAAUUACUGGGCGUAAAGGGCUCGUAGGCGGCCAACUAAGUCAGACGUGAAAUCUCUAGGCUCAACCUAGGAACUGCGUCUGAUACUGGAUGGCUUGAAUCCGGGAGAGGGAUGCAGAAUUCCAGGUGUAGCGGUGAAAUGCGUAGAUAUCAGGAGGAACACCGGUGGCGAAGGCGGUUCUCUGGGCAUUACCUGACGCUGAGGAGCGAAAGUGUGGGGAGCGAACAGG
RNAcentral lists this ribosomal RNA (253 nucleotides) under uncultured bacterium. RNAcentral describes it as "partial 16S ribosomal RNA". It matches the Rfam family "Bacterial small subunit ribosomal RNA", at positions 524 to 776 of the family's 1533-position model. The record is from RNAcentral.